UACGUAGGGCGCAAGCGUUGUCCGGAAUUAUUGGGCGUAAAGAGCUCGUAGGCGGCUUCUCAAGCGUGUGGUGAAAGUCCGGGGCUCAACCCCGGAUCGGCCGUGCGGACUGGGGAGCUCGAGUUCUGUAGAGGCGGGUGGAAUUCCGGGGUGUAGCGGUGGAAUGCGUAGAGAUCCGGAAGAACACCGGUGGCGAAGGCGGCCCGCUGGGCAGAGACUGACGCUGAGGCGACGACAGCGUGGGGGAGCAAACAGG
RNAcentral lists this ribosomal RNA (256 nucleotides) under uncultured bacterium. RNAcentral's name for it is "partial 16S ribosomal RNA". It matches the Rfam family "Bacterial small subunit ribosomal RNA", at positions 524 to 776 of the family's 1533-position model. The record is from RNAcentral.